Molecule: unclassified non-coding RNA, 227 nt
Filed under: uncultured fungus
Lineage: Eukaryota; Fungi
Description: sequence contains ITS1, 5.8S rRNA gene
Rfam family: 5.8S ribosomal RNA (bases 179-227)
Source: RNAcentral
UUUCCGUAGGUGAACCUGCGGAGGGAUCAUUACUGAGUGAGGGCCUCCCCGGCCCGACCUCCAACCCUCUGUGAACACAACUUGUUGCUUCGGGGGCGACCCUGCCGUCCGCGGCUGAGCGCUCCCGGAGGCCUUCAAACACUGCAUCUUCGCGUCGGAGUUUAAGUAAAUUAAACAAAACUUUCAACAACGGAUCUCUUGGUUCUGGCAUCGAUGAAGAACGCAGC